UUUUUUUUUUUUUUUUUUGAACAUUUAAGAAGGCAGCAAAUCAUAGCAUCAUUUCUGUAACUUCAUUAUUCAAUACCAUUCAGAUGUGCAACAUCAGCAGUAGCUUAAUUUUUAGUUUUAUUACAUUCUGGCGCUUCAAAUGCCUAGCAAAAUGCAACUGAACAGUUUAUUUUCAGAGGUUCUUCUGAUUAUGUUUUGGUUUUUGCUAAUUUAUAUGUAUCUUGAAAACAUCCUAGCUACUGUUAUUGCCCUUAUACUCAAUUCAAGGAUUAGAUUAUUCUCUUUUUCGUGGUAAAAACAACACUAUUGUUAUCACUUAUCAAUGUGAACUGCUAUAUUUGUAGCUGUUUAGAUUGUUAAACUUGUUUUAUUCUUCCAGCUUGCAUCUGGCGAGGUUUUUGGG
RNAcentral lists this unclassified non-coding RNA (403 nucleotides) under Hevea brasiliensis (rubber tree). The record is from RNAcentral. Lineage: Eukaryota; Viridiplantae; Streptophyta; Magnoliopsida; Malpighiales; Euphorbiaceae.